AACGUGGGGAACCUGCCCCAUAGUCUGGGAUACCACUUGGAAACAGGUGCUAAUACCGGAUAAGAAAGCAGAUCGCAUGAUCAGCUUUUAAAAGGCGGCGUAAGCUGUCGCUAUGGGAUGGCCCCGCGGUGCAUUAGUUAGUUGGUAAGGUAAAGGCUUACCAAGGCGAUGAUGCAUAGCCGAGUUGAGAGACUGAUCGGCCACAUUGGGACUGAGACACGGCCCAAACUCCUACGGGAGGCAGCAGC
RNAcentral lists this ribosomal RNA (248 nucleotides) under uncultured Lactobacillus sp. Its description in RNAcentral is "partial 16S ribosomal RNA". It matches the Rfam family "Bacterial small subunit ribosomal RNA", at positions 114 to 355 of the family's 1533-position model. The record is from RNAcentral. Lineage: Bacteria; Bacillati; Bacillota; Bacilli; Lactobacillales; Lactobacillaceae.